This 480-nucleotide ribosomal RNA is filed under the name uncultured bacterium. Its description in RNAcentral is "bacterial SSU rRNA". It matches the Rfam family "Bacterial small subunit ribosomal RNA", at positions 518 to 996 of the family's 1533-position model. The record is from RNAcentral.
CGGUAAUACGUAGGGUGCGAGCGUUAAUCGGAAUUACUGGGCGUAAAGCGUGCGCAGGCGGUUUUGUAAGUCAGAUGUGAAAUCCCCGAGCUCAACUUGGGAACUGCGUUUGAAACUACAAGACUAGAAUAUGUCAGAGGGGGGUAGAAUUCCACGUGUAGCAGUGAAAUGCGUAGAGAUGUGGAGGAAUACCAAUGGCGAAGGCAGCCCCCUGGGAUAAUAUUGACGCUCAUGCACGAAAGCAUGGGGAGCAAACAGGAUUAGAUACCCUGGUAGUCCACGCCCUAAACGAUGUCUACUAGUUGUUGGUGGAGUAAAAUCCAUGAGUAACGCAGCUAACGCGUGAAGUAGACCGCCUGGGGAGUACGGUCGCAAGAUUAAAACUCAAAGGAAUUGACGGGGGCCCGCACAAGCGGUGGAUUAUGUGGAUUAAUUCGAUGCAACGCGAAAAACCUUACCUGGCCUUGACAUGCCACUAAC